AUCGUUUACAGGAUUUCGUUUUUUUCUUCACCAUCGUCCUGGACAAGCGAUGCAUGUAAUUUGUAUUUUACAACUGCAUCGAGAAUAUUUUUUGUAGGUAUUUUUGAGGAAAGGAUUUUGAUUUUAAAGCCGAUUACGCGGAGCAGCUUGAGGCUGAUUGUAAAAUUUUUGAGAAUUAAUUACAUCGAUUAAAGCCUAUUUUGUCUGUCGGCUUUACACAGUGUAAAUAUUCGUGUCGUAAAUCCCACCGAAUGAAGAAACACGUUUCUAGCUUUGAAGUAGCCAAGUUCCAUGGCCGAUGCUCAUGAAUAUAAAAUUGUGCCGCCCGCGCCCCUGUCUACAACCCCUAUAACAUCCGUAAGAGGUUAGAAAAGAAAAAUGUUCGGGGUCACAAGUGAUCCCGAAUGACCCUAUCACGGGAGCCGUGGUGACGUAAGACCGCUGUCAAGCUGUUAAUGCGAACGAGCGACGGUGUCGCCAUCUACGAGACGGCAAGUUUCCACGACAGUUAUUAAUAGGCACGGUGGAGAAUAUUUAGGCAUACGCAAGGAAUGCAAGCCCGAACUAAGCGGACGUCGGACGUUUCAGAACCAUCCAGGCACAUCCGGUCCAUCGCUCUUCGCAUGUUGCAAUCCUCAUGAUUCGUGGAUCGCUUACGCUCUCGCGAUACCGCAGGAAGUCGCUGCAAUGGAUCACCGGAAAUGUCCACGAGGCUUGAUUCUUAUUGGAUUCCUGAUUACCAGUCUGGACCCUGUGCUCGGCUCAUCUUCUUUACUACCACCCUCUACACCCCACGUCCUCAUGUAGAUGUCAUUCCGGUGCAACGGUCCAGUCCAAACAAUCGUACAUCCUCAGCAUCACCGUCCGUGCUAUUUAAGCGUUCUAGAAAAUUAGGUACUCUCCAUCAAUUUUCACCUACGACCGAGACUCCUCGGGCAGCGACGCUUCACGUCCACGUAUCCAUUUUACGUAUGGGAAAAUAGAGUGGCGGGUUUGCGUUUUCACUAGGAGACCUCGCCGUUCACCAAUAGAGACCAGAUAGCCUAGUGACAUUUUCCUGGCAGGAUGGACGCCCAGCGUCGGCCGGAUAAGCUUUGACAGAGUGACCCUGUUAUCGAGCGAGUAUGCUGGGGGUUAGGACAACCAGACACUGGGAUGUGUACCUGUACGGCUGGCGUCGCGACGCCCUGGAACUCGCCACGCCCGAAUACCAUCACUCGGGCUAAUUAUAGAAAUUUUUUGGAAAUUUCAUAAUAAACAGGGGAGCAGGUGGUACCUGCAAAUGGACUGUCUUACUGGCGUGGGGGCACUAUCGCAAAGUGGAAUUCGUCGUUUAUGAAGAGUACGGGCCAAAUCCGUUUCUGCGAGACGUGACGUAUUUCGCCGACUGCUACGUCACGGAUGCCGUGGAUCCGAUGAAGGAUAAAAAGAGGGAAGUCGCGGAAGAGAAGAGAUAAAAAGAUUGUGCCUGAGAAGAGGAAGGAAGAAGGAAGGCUAAACCGGAAGUAAGACCCGAGUGCAAAAAUUUCUACGAGGAUGAAAUAAGUUGAAGCUAAAUUCGUUAUAAUUAAACGAGACGGAUAAAACAGUGUGGUUCGCUGAGUUUCCGAUGCGCCGUCGUCGUCCGUCGUCGAAAUGCCUCUUCAGAAAUACAGCGGCGUCCCGUAGCUACCGAAGCUCCGGCUUUAUGCAACCGCAGGAUCCUACGGAGUGAAUCGUGAGAACGUUUCAAGUGGGACCAUAGCCGGGAUUUCCGUUGGCUUGUUAAAACAUUAUGAUAAAUGGUUAAGUUUCAUCUAAAAUUUAAAGCGGUCGCCACUCUCGAGUAAUUCCUUCGCUCCCACUGGCAUCUUUACUCGUUAACCUCUUUGAAGGCUUCGCUACUUUUCCUGCCAGCGCCAGAUUCUUCUUGCUGCUCACUCAUUGCUGCACCGGAUGCAUAAUUU
Cephus cinctus (wheat stem sawfly) is the source of this 1946-nucleotide long non-coding RNA. RefSeq lists it as uncharacterized. NCBI's taxonomy places the organism in Eukaryota, Metazoa, Arthropoda, Insecta, Hymenoptera, Cephidae. The transcript is spliced from 10 exons. The record is from RefSeq and is a predicted model, not a curated record.